UUGCUUUGGCAGCACAUAUAGUAAAACUGGAACUAUACAGAGAAGAUUAGCAUGGCCCCUGUGCAAGGAUGACACACAAAUUCAUGAAGCGUUCCACAUUUAA
Molecule: small nuclear RNA, 103 nt
Filed under: Cebus imitator (Panamanian white-faced capuchin)
Lineage: Eukaryota; Metazoa; Chordata; Mammalia; Primates; Cebidae
Source: RNAcentral